UAAGGGAUAUUGCGACAAUGGGCGAAAGCCUGACGCAGCAACGCCGCGUGCGGGAGGAAGGCCUUCGGGUUGUAAACCGCUUUUGAGGGGGAAGAGGAAGGACGGUACCCUUCGAAUAAGUCUCGGCUAACUACGUGCCAGCAGCCGCGGUAAAACGUAGGAGGCGAGCGUUAUCCGGAUUUACUGGGUGUAAAGCGCGUGCAGGCGGUGGGACAAGUUAACUGUGAAAGCGCCCGGCUCAACCGGGCGAGGACAGUUAAGACUGUUCGACUGGAGGCAGGUAGAGGUGUGUGGAAUUCCGGGGGUAGUGGUGAAAUGCGUAGAGAUCCGGAGGAACACCAGUGGCGAAGGCGACACACUGGGCCUGGCCUGACGCUCAGACGCGAAAGCAUGGGGAGCGAACGG
This 405-nucleotide ribosomal RNA is filed under the name uncultured bacterium. Its description in RNAcentral is "bacterial SSU rRNA". It matches the Rfam family "Bacterial small subunit ribosomal RNA", at positions 355 to 775 of the family's 1533-position model. The record is from RNAcentral.